This 259-nucleotide ribosomal RNA is filed under the name uncultured bacterium. Its description in RNAcentral is "partial 16S ribosomal RNA". It matches the Rfam family "Bacterial small subunit ribosomal RNA", at positions 96 to 353 of the family's 1533-position model. The record is from RNAcentral.
CGGCGCACGGGUGAGUAACACGUAUCCAACCUGCCGUCUACUCUUGGACAGCCUUCUGAAAAGAAGAUUAAUACAAGAUGGCAUCAUGAGUCCGCAUGUUCACAUGAUUAAAGGUAUUCCGGUAGACGAUGGGGAUGCGUUCCAUUAGAUAGUAGGCGGGGUAACGGCCCACCUAGUCUUCGAUGGAUAGGGGUUCUGAGAGGAAGGUCCCCCACAUUGGAACUGAGACACGGUCCAAACUCCUACGGGAGGCAGCAUG